This is a non-coding RNA of Doryrhamphus excisus (bluestripe pipefish), 2067 nucleotides long. Lineage: Eukaryota; Metazoa; Chordata; Actinopteri; Syngnathiformes; Syngnathidae. The record is from RefSeq and is a predicted model, not a curated record.
GCAUAUGUUUGAUAUGAAGGGAUGAUUUUGUGACAUGUACGGUUCGUAUCCGGUUGAAGGCAAGUGUGUAUGAGAAACAAGCUAAUGUAUUAAACGCCGGUUUCAAACCAUAAACGCCAAAAAAAAUGGUGUGGAAUGGGAGCAGAGCUUGGAGUGGAUGUUCUCAGCGCCGUGGAGGUUUGCUUCUCCGGCAGAAUAGCGAUGAGACGCGCGGGCUGAAAAAUGACCGUAGGAGCCUUUAUGUUGGCGGACACAUUGGAGAAAUGGAUGUGCGGGCCGCAGUCAGCAUGCAGCAUCCCUCAACUCCCCUUCCCCCCCCCGUGUCGCCUCCGUGUCGCCACGCUGAAAAGGCGAGUAAAGAUUUCGGCUGCUGCUCUUGUGUGGAAAAAGUAGAAGAGAAGCUUCCAAGUUGUCAGCAGAUGACGCCAGACCCCCUGAGCUCAGCCAUUGGACAGCUCACAGACACGUGACCGGGGCAGCUUCCUGGUUGGACCAGGAUGAAGCAUCUGGAUGCCCGCUGGAGCCUCUGCAUGUUCAUCGCCAUGCAGAUCUUCCACAACAUUCCACUGGAUGAAUCCACAGACGAGCAUGUUGGAGCAUUCUGACAGACGCUGGAUAUAGAAGCAGAUGCCGUGUCAGGAAGCGGAGAACGUCGUAGAGCUGGAGAAGGAAUUCCACUUGUGACACGCUAACAUGUCGGAAAUGGCACAGAUCACCAGUUUUGGUUCUAGAAACCCAGGAUGAGGCAGCACAGCAGCAAGAAUGCCGCCCAGAGGUUUUUAUGUAACUCCAUAGAUAUCUCCAAGUUUUCCCGUUUUCCCAUACAUAGCGUGGAUUAUUUCCUACUGUCUCAUGGCGAGGCCUUCACUGAGCAGACCUUGCCCUCACCGACCAUGGCCCAUUGCAUUUCAGCACCAGCGUCAAUAAUCAACAACAUUUGCCCCGUUGGCCCAUUAGCGGCCAUCUUAAUCUGAAUGAUACAUUUACUUUCACUCAUUAGCUUCAAUCUCGUAGCACACCACUGGGAUACUUUAAUGAAACUACCGUUUAUGAACAUUACCGCAAAUCUGCUGCCUCUCUUUUUGAGCACAGCGUGCAGAAACCUUCUAAAACAGGGGUGGGCAAACUUUUUGACUCGCGGGCCGCAUUGAUGUGACAAAAUUUACGGGGGGGGCAGACUAUAUAUUUUACACGUAACAGUCCACCUGGUAUUAUUGUAUCUGUAAAAUUGUCAUGCAAUCUGCUAUUAUUAUUUAUUAUUUUAUAUUUAUAUUUAAAUAUUCUAAUAAUAAUAAAAUAUUAUAAUAAUUACAAUAAAAUUAAAAUAAUAAUUAUUAUAUUAUUAUUAUGUAAAAUAUGCAAAUAUAAAAUAAUAUAUAUAAUUAAUAUAAUAAUUAGCAUUAAUAUAAUAAUUAUAAUAAUCAUAACAGUUCUAAUAAUAAUUGUAAUAAUCUAAUUAUUUUUUUAUAUUAUUUGUUAUUAUUAUUUUAUAUUAUUAUUAUUAUUAUGUGCCUGUGUCCCUUUUUUCAGGAGCACUUAGUAAACAACAGACCGCAUCAAAUAACGAAAUUGAUAAAACAGCCAAACCAUGAAAAUGUCGGCUUAAGCCAUGAUGCCAGGUUGUAUGUUGACUUUAAAUGAAAUACUUUGGAAAGAACGGGCGGGCCGUAUUCAAACACUUGGCGGGCCGGAUGUGGCCCCCGGGCCGUAGUUUGCCCACCCCUGUUCUAAAAUAUUAUGUGGAUGUUGGAGUAUUGUUGCAUGCUUGAACCAUAGGAUAGUGUCUCUAUACGCCUCUUCUGUAUGAUGUGCUGUAGAUAGUAAUAUGAUUGAAUAAUGCUCACAUUGAAUGAAACAAUGCUUUGAUAUUGUUGUUGCUUGUCAUUUUCCGUACACGCUUAAUAAAGGCAAAAUAAUGAUAAUAAUGACUUUGACUUCCAGCAGAAUUCCAUAAAAUCCCAGGUUGCUUCCUGAAAGGUAACAACUCUUUGUUUAGGAAUGCUCAGACAAACCUCUUCACAAUUAUGCAUUCAAGUUGCACCGUCCCUCGCUGCCCCCGCUAGGUUC